RNAcentral lists this ribosomal RNA (550 nucleotides) under uncultured bacterium. RNAcentral describes it as "partial 16S ribosomal RNA". The record is from RNAcentral.
AACCUUGCGGUCGUACUCCCCAGGCGGAACACUUAAUGCGUUAACUGCGGCACAGCAGGGGUCAAUACCCGCUACACCUAGUGUUCACCGUUUACUGCGUGGACUACCAGGGUAUCUAAUCCUGUUUGCUCCCCACGCCUUCGCGCCUCAGCGUCAGUAUUGGUCCAGGAAGUCGCCUUCGCCAUCGGUGUUCCUCCUGAUAUCUACGAAUUUCACCUCUACACCAGGAAUUCCACUUCCCUCUCCCAUACUCAAGCUCCUUAGUUUCAAAUGCACUUCCGGGGUUAAGCCCCGGGCUUUCACAUCUGACUUAAAAAGCCGCCUACGCGCCCUUUACGCCCAAUAAAUCCGAAUAACGCUUGCACCCCCCGUAUUACCGCGGCUGCUGGCACGGAGUUAGCCGGUGCUUCCUUCAGUGGUACCGUCAAUGAAAGACAGUAUUAAUGCCUAACAGUUUCUUCCCACUUGACAGAGUUUUACGACCCGAAAGCCUUCAUCACUCACGCGGCGUUGCUGCGUCAGGGUUUCCCCCAUUGCGCAAAAUUCCUCA